Long non-coding RNA from Ictalurus punctatus (channel catfish), 1739 nucleotides. The record is from Ensembl. Lineage: Eukaryota; Metazoa; Chordata; Actinopteri; Siluriformes; Ictaluridae.
GGUUAGUUAGCUGCAGAAACUAGCGGGUUCGUUAGCUGCAGAAACUAGCAGGUUAGUUAGCUGCAGAAACUAGCAUCUUAAUUAGCUGCAGAAACUAGCAGGUUAGUUAGUUGCAGAAACUAGCAUCUUAGUUAGCUGCAGAAACUAGCAGGUUAGUUAGCUGCAGAAACUAGCAUCUUAAUUAGCUGCAGAAACUAGCAGGUUAGCUAACUUAGCUAAUUUUAGAGCUGCACAAAUUUCUGGUUAUUUUUAAAGGUUUUUUAUUUUAUUUUAUUUUGUACAAGUUUGGCUGCUGCUAAGUAAAAAGUGAAAUACCAGCAACAAAUUCAUGCUAGCUUGCUAGCACUUACGUGACUAGCUGGCUAGUCGUUGUGGAUUGCAGGUGGAUGGGUGUGUUUUUAUGUUGCAUAUUCAUGUACUUUCGUAAAUCCUGCUGUGUUUUUUUAUUUUAUUUAUUUAUUUAUUUUAAACGAGGCUAAAGAUGUAGAGGUGUUGCUAGGUCCUUUCUUUUUCCACAGAAGUUAUUGGUGAAAAUUUGCACAUGCGUGCGUACUUCUAACUUUCAAAUGUGGCACAGUGAUGUUUCCUUAGGGUAUCCUUUGGUAUCCUAAUGAGAAAAUCAAUCAGUUCAGAGAAUCUUGUGCUCAGUGUGGUGGUGGUGGUAUUAAAUUUUGGCUUGGUUUCAUUUCUGAGCGCGGCGUCUUGGCGUCUCCCUCGUUACUGUACGAUUGCUUUUCUCCUCCACACGAGACAGCUGUUGUGUAAUACGCUGAAAUCCGCGGUAAUUACGGACACCGGGGACCUUUACUUUUGUUUCUCCGAAGCAUUGAGACACCUACACUAAUCUCGGCGUUUUCCCGCUAACACCGAGCUCCUUUUAGAUAAUUCGUUUAAGACGGGAAAGCUUUCGUUCCUCCCCCCCAGGUGCCAUGCUGAUUAUUUCAUUUUAGCAUGUGAUUCACCGGCAGCGUGGCGAUGAAGCAGGCGUAAAGUGAGUCACGUAUCCCACGAACAUCUGUGUGUUACAGUGAGCAACGUUCACUCCAGCACCUUCUGCAUCCUGACGUUUAUUUUUAGAAAGAUUAAACCUCCUGGGAGCCAGACCUUUGGAGGUGAUCCUAGAUUAUACAUAAAUCCGCAGGGAGAAGUCGUGGAGCGCCGAGGUCGAAGGUACCGUAUAGCGGGGUCUUGUAAAAUGAGCUCCGGUCUUCACACCUGUGACGGAUGAGCUCACAUAAACGUGAAGGUCCUGCGGUGGAAGGUUAAUCGGGGGAAAUUUGUAUUCUCUCUUGAAGCUAGAGCUCAGGUGCAGGUUUAUAAGCCAUCUGGAGCACAACAACACAGCACGCGGCAUCUGUUUCCUUUCUAGUCGCUUUACUGUAAUAUGAUGUGUGGUUGAACAGCCUCCCCAGGCCCCGGCGCUCCUUCUGGACUAAUGUCUCCUCUCUGUAGAGCGAUCUUUAAUUCCUAAUUAUGUGCCUUGCCUGAUGCCAGGAAAUUACAGAAUUAAAGUCGAGUUAAAGAACAUUACCAGCGUUCAAUUUACGUCAUUUUCGGCAGCAGUUAACUCGUAAAGUCGGAUCUGUCGGCUCUUGAUGUAUUAUGCAGUGACUGAUGUUUGGCUGCGUCGCAUUUAUUCUCUCCUUAAAACGACGAACGAUUGGCUUUAUAAACGAUCAGGAAGUACAACAGGGCGCACGGUGGCUUAGUGGUUCAUCUCACACCUCCAGGGUCGGGGG